UGACAGAGCAUUAGGCUACUAUUGGUCUUCUGAUGACACCCCCCCCCNGGUUGAACUAUGGGUAGCUGAGGACCACCAUAGGUCUCUGAGCCAGUGCCCUUAUAUACUAUAGGAUGGAAUCCCAAGGAGAGUCCAGACCCAGAGCUUCUGGAAAGCGCACCCUCCUGGGAACUGAAAUGACCAUCCAAGUAUGUAUCCCACUGGCCUAGGGUGAGCAGGUGGCUAAAUCCCAGAUGCAGAAAAAGGAGUGAAACCACUUUCCAGGUAGUCCUUAAGUUUCUAGAGCACAGCCGUUUGAUCACAAAGCAGAAUUGAAGGUUAAUCCCAG
Molecule: long non-coding RNA, 328 nt
Filed under: Vulpes vulpes (red fox)
Lineage: Eukaryota; Metazoa; Chordata; Mammalia; Carnivora; Canidae
Description: lncRNA (ENSVVUG00000012780.1)
Source: RNAcentral